CCUACGGGUGGCAGCAGUGGGGAAUAUUGCACAAUGGGGGAAACCCUGAUGCAGCGACGCCGCGUGAGUGAAGAAGUAAUUCGUUACGUAAAGCUCUAUCAGCAGGGAAGAAAAUGACGGUACCUGAGUAAGAAUCCCCGGCUAACUACGUGCCAGCAGCCGCGGUAUUACGUAGGGUGCAAGCGUUAUCCGGAUUUACUGGGUGUAACGGGAGCGUAGAUGGUACGCCAAGUCUGGGGUGAAAUGCCCGCGCUUAAGGUGGGGACUGCUUUGGACACUGGCAAACUGGAGUGCGGGAGAGGAUAGUGGAAUUCCAGGUGUAGGGGUGAAAUGCGUAGAGAUAGGGAGGAACAGCAGGGGGGAAGGCGACUAUCUGGCACAUAACUGACGCUGAGGAGCGAAAGCGUGGGUAGCAAACAGGAUGAGAUACCCGUGUAGUC
RNAcentral lists this ribosomal RNA (440 nucleotides) under uncultured bacterium. RNAcentral's name for it is "partial 16S ribosomal RNA". It matches the Rfam family "Bacterial small subunit ribosomal RNA", at positions 338 to 795 of the family's 1533-position model. The record is from RNAcentral.